AAAAAAAAACAAGUGCGUUAUUUUUUUCCCAGAAAUCACUCUCUUCUUCUGCACGCCUCUUCGUUUUCUCUCACUAACCCUAAAAGCCCAUCCUCGUGAGUCAUUGCCGCUUCUACUUCUAGGGGUUUUUUUUUACGACGUUGCUGCAAAACCAGAGCACCUAGUCCCCAAGGAACCCUCGCAAAUCGCAUCGGUGCGCGCUCCGAGCUCGAGAUUAGAGAAGAAAAAGAUUCAACCUUUGUGGAAAAGGACGGAAAACCCAGAACGAGAAGACAAACUGCAUGAACUAAGAAGGAGAAACCUAAUCCGUUUGGCUUCUCUAUGUUUGAUCAUAAUUUUUUAUUAUUUCUGGGUGGUUUUGUUUUCAAAGAGUGAAGAAGAGAAUGGUGGUAAUCUGGACCAUGCUGGACAGGUGGUGAGUGAUUUGAUCAUGUGGAAGGAUGCGUCAAAGUCAACCUUUUGGUUUGGAUUUUGUUCUCUUUGUCUUUUGUCUUCGUGCUUUACUCAAGGACUCAACUUUAGAAAUGAGGUUGAAGAAAAGAGGGAAAUCAAGUUGACAGAGGAUGACAUUUUGCGUCUUGCGAAAUUAAUUAUUCCUGCUGUGGAUUUUGCAAUUUCAAGGAUGAGAGCGUUGUUCUCGGGAGAACCAUCCAUGACCCUCAAAGUUCCCUCCAUUAACCAAGAAAACAUUUUACAUGAAGGAUGUUGAGGAAGAAUCAGCUGGUGCUAAAAAGACAGCUGGUGGGUGAGGAGGUGCAGGUUCCAAGAGAAGCCGAGCAGCUAAAGUGCAUAAUCUAUCUGAAAGGUGAACUUUCUUGUUACGGGUUUUUUGGCAUGGAAAUAUGGAAGACACUAGGACUUACAUGCAAGUGGGACAAAGUUUGUUCGUACGAGUCGACAAGCUUCAGUUAGGUACUCUCCUUAUUUCUUACUUUAAUAUGAAAAUCCAUCAUUAUUUUUU
Molecule: long non-coding RNA, 961 nt
Organism: Glycine soja
Lineage: Eukaryota; Viridiplantae; Streptophyta; Magnoliopsida; Fabales; Fabaceae
Exons: 4
Source: RefSeq, a predicted model, not a curated record